This is a long non-coding RNA of Gallus gallus (chicken), 1558 nucleotides long. The record is from Ensembl. Lineage: Eukaryota; Metazoa; Chordata; Aves; Galliformes; Phasianidae.
ACACACCGAACACCGCGGCCAUUCUCACGACUCGGAGCUCCACCAUCACUGGGCUCAUUCCCAAACAUCGGCCAUUUCCCCCUAAAGCAGCCAGGAGCCGCCCCGCCCGGCCCCAGCGCCUCCCCGCUCCGGAGUGACGCGAGGCGACGAGAAGCAAACGGACUCCAAACUUGGCCGGAGAGCCUCAGCACGCAGAAGGCUGCAUACACAGCUCGAUUUACUCUACGGAGAGGCACGGAACGCACUUUCAUCCCCCGCAGCGGCCCCGGCCAACGGCCCUCGGACACCGCGACCCCAUAUCCCCGCGUCCCCAUAUCCCUGAAUGCCGAUAUCCCCGUAUCCCCGCAUCCCGCCGGGCGGGCGGCUGCUGCCCCCCAGAGGCGACGCGUGCCCAGCACGGCCACCCCGCACGAGGCGCCCGCAGUCUCUCGGAUGCUCGGUUUGCAGUUUCGAACAAGGUUUUUUUUUGUGCCUGUUGGUUUUGGGGGUUUUUUCUUUUUUUUUCCCCCCCUACAUGGCUGGCACUGGAAAGUUUUCCACUUUCUAUAUAAACGUUCACCGGCGCAAACCGAGAGACGGCAGCCGCCCCCCAAACACGCCCUGCUGUCUGAAACAACACCGCAAGAGCAAAAUAAGUAAGAAAAAAAGUAAAGCCUGCUCCUACCUGCCAUGGAACGAACGAUGAGAGCCGCCUCACGUCCCGCACGGCACCGCCCGUCCCUCCGAACGAACACAACUCCGCGUGGGGCAGCCGAGCCCCGCCGCCCGCUGCGCUUUAAGGGGAGCGGGGAGAUCCCACCCAGUGCGGGGUGGAGAAUGCCGGCUGGGAACGGGGCGAGCGCAGCUGGGUCACGGCCCUGCAGCUGCCUGCAGCCCGCAGGCUUCGCCGCGAGGCUCCUUUCCCCGGCGGUCUCUUGCAGCCCUUUUGGCUGCUGCUAGGUUAGCAACGGGAUCUGAGGACGGCAGUGCCACAUGCACGGCCCUGUGCCGUCAGGAUAUAAAUACGGGAAACGUAUCGUUUAGAUCAGCUGCAGGACAGAGAGGCAUGACGUGUAGAGGUACUUGAAGCGCUGGAGUUGCAACACUGAGAAAUCCCCGUUGAACUGGAGAGCGGCCCAGCUGCGUGAGAUCAGCACACGGCAGCGCCUCGCCGUUAUUCUCACCACAGGCAAUGAGGAGAAAUAAGCUAAACGUAACGCCGCUUCUGUUUCACACAGUAAGGAUUGCAAAUUCAUUCCGGACGGAGUGCUGGCACGGUUUGACUUGAGUUCCCAAUAAAAACCAAGCAAUCAGGUGCAGCUGGUCGAGGGCUGCCCCACACUGGAGCAAAGGGCAGGUGUGAGGCUGUGCUGGGGAGCAGCCCGAGCAGCCACCGCAGCGCUCCUUUGCUCUCAGCUGUGCCAGACCCGGGGGUGCCAGCAGCACAUCAGGGCUCUCCAUCAGUUAUUACCCCCACGUGUAUUUUCUCACAGUUUGGGGGCCUAUUCCCCUUUCUCUCAAGAUUUUUUUGUGUUAAACCUUGGCUGUGCAAAAUUUUCAUUAAAAAAUCAAUUUAAAG